RNAcentral lists this ribosomal RNA (806 nucleotides) under Bacillus pumilus. RNAcentral's name for it is "bacterial SSU rRNA". It matches the Rfam family "Bacterial small subunit ribosomal RNA", at positions 554 to 1362 of the family's 1533-position model. Lineage: Bacteria; Bacillati; Bacillota; Bacilli; Caryophanales; Bacillaceae. The record is from RNAcentral.
UUGGGCGUAAGGGCUCGCAGGCGGUUUCUUAAGUCUGAUGUGAAAGCCCCCGGCUCAACCGGGGAGGGUCAUUGGAAACUGGGAAACUUGAGUGCAGAAGAGGAGAGUGGAAUUCCACGUGUAGCGGUGAAAUGCGUAGAGAUGUGGAGGAACACCAGUGGCGAAGGCGACUCUCUGGUCUGUAACUGACGCUGAGGAGCGAAAGCGUGGGGAGCGAACAGGAUUAGAUACCCUGGUAGUCCACGCCGUAAACGAUGAGUGCUAAGUGUUAGGGGGUUUCCGCCCCUUAGUGCUGCAGCUAACGCAUUAAGCACUCCGCCUGGGGAGUACGGUCGCAAGACUGAAACUCAAAGGAAUUGACGGGGGCCCGCACAAGCGGUGGAGCAUGUGGUUUAAUUCGAAGCAACGCGAAGAACCUUACCAGGUCUUGACAUCCUCUGACAACCCUAGAGAUAGGGCUUUCCCUUCGGGGACAGAGUGACAGGUGGUGCAUGGUUGUCGUCAGCUCGUGUCGUGAGAUGUUGGGUUAAGUCCCGCAACGAGCGCAACCCUUGAUCUUAGUUGCCAGCAUUCAGUUGGGCACUCUAAGGUGACUGCCGGUGACAAACCGGAGGAAGGUGGGGAUGACGUCAAAUCAUCAUGCCCCUUAUGACCUGGGCUACACACGUGCUACAAUGGACAGAACAAAGGGCUGCGAGACCGCAGGUUUAGCCAAUCCCAUAAAUCUGUUCUCAGUUCGGAUCGCAGUCUGCAACUCGACUGCGUGAAGCUGGAAUCGCUAGGUAUCGCGGAUCAGCAUGCCGCGG